CACUGGUGGAUUAGUGGCGAACGGGUGAGUAACACGUGAGUAACCUGCCCCUGACUUCGGGAUAAGCCCGGGAAACUGGGUCUAAUACCGGAUAUGACUUCCUGCUGCAUGGCAGGGGGUGGAAAGAUUUAUCGGUUGGGGAUGGACUCGCGGCCUAUCAGCUUGUUGGUGAGGUAAUGGCUCACCAAGGCGACGACGGGUAGCCGGCCUGAGAGGGUGACCGGCCACACUGGGACUGAGACACGGCCCAGACUCCUACGGGAGGCAGCAGUGGGGAAUAUUGCACAAUGGGCGAAAGCCUGAUGCAGCGACCCCCCGUGAGGGAUGACGGCCUUCGGGUUGUAAACCUCUUUCAGUAGGGAAGAAGCCCCUUUUUGGGGUGACGGUACUUGCAGAAGAAGCGCCGGCUAACUACGUGCCAGCAGCCGCGGUAAUACGUAGGGCGCAAGCGUUAUCCGGAAUUAUUGGACGUAAAGAGCUCGUAUGCCGUUUGUCCCGUCUGCCGUGAAAAAUCCGAGAGCUCAACCUCGGAUCUGCGGUGGGUACGGGCAUACUAGAGUUGUUGUAGGGGGAAACUGGGAAUUUCCUGGUGUUUCCGGUGAACAUGUGCCGAAUAUUAGGUGCAAAACCCAUGGGGAAAG
Molecule: ribosomal RNA, 641 nt
Filed under: Glutamicibacter creatinolyticus
Lineage: Bacteria; Bacillati; Actinomycetota; Actinomycetes; Micrococcales; Micrococcaceae
Description: bacterial SSU rRNA
Rfam family: Bacterial small subunit ribosomal RNA
Source: RNAcentral